UCUCUAGCUCUCAUCACUGUCACCUUUAACUCUUAACUCUGGUUCUGGCUUUCCAAUGCCAAACUUCAGGAGGAGCUCCACUCAUUUGCCAUUUUACAUGGAGCCCUUUUUGUUUGUUGCACUUAAUGGCCCAUCACCCAGGUGAUCAUCUCAUCAGAAAGCUAGCCUGGCUUAUAUUUUAGCACUUGCUGAAUCCAGGGUUAGAAGUGUCUCAGCAUACAACCCACUUCCCCACCUAAAGUCAUAACACUAUUCUGGCACAGGGGGAAAAAUCAAUUAUUUUUUUUAAAAAGUUAAAUUAAAAAACUGUAGGCAUAAUUUUUCAUUGGGCAGUAAUAGAAUUUGUAUUAAAUUCUAAUAUUACUUAUACUAUGGCUCACAUGAAAGUUGUGGUUUUAAAAUAUAUAUUGCUGCUUGUAAUAAUAGAUCCAUGGUUGCAGGCUGUUUUAAAUAUUUUACAGUUCGUUGAGACACCAUCUCCCUGAAUUCUUAGGUUUGAUCACAAGUGCAGCAUCUCUUCGUUAAUGCUGUGCAGGUUGAUAAAACAGUUGCCGAGCUAUAGUCCCCAAAGAAAUUAUUAAUUAUCUGGUUAAUGUGCAUCAGGCUGUGGGAGUAUGAGAUUAAUCACCAGUGCUGGGAUGAGUUGCUGAAGUGGAUUUUGGUUUUUUGUCUCCUGUCACUCGGUAAUGGCUUUUCCUUCCUUCACCAUCAGGUGAACAGGUGCGGAGAUGCUGUAUUUUCAUUUUCCUGUAGUCAGGAACAGCCGGUGGCCAGGAUAUGCCAUUUUCUCAGUCCUGCUGCAUGAGCAGUUUGCAACAUGGAGCACUACCUGCUCAAAAUGUUCCAGCUGCAGGAGAUUCUCCUGGAAUAACCAGUCUUCUCAAAAUUCACAAACAUUUAAGUGAGAAGGGUUGCAGGAAGCUCAAAGUGGAACUGGGAAAUGCAGUUAAAUUGCUUGGAAUGUGUAAUGUAACCAUAUUUAAAGAAAUACUAUGUGUGAAAUUUACACUUACAUUACAAGUGCAUUCUUCAGUGAGAACUGAGCUCCUGUGGAUUUAUUUUGUCUGAAUUUUAAGUUAGAACUCUUUCUAAAAACCCUGUCAGUGGUGUAAGAUGAGAUGAAAAGUGUGGUUGAGCAUCACAUGAAGUGUUCAUCAAUACACAUUUCUUCCUCCCAGUUGUGACUUGGUGAAAUAUAGAUAGUAAUUUAUUUUUAUGAGACCUCACUUAAGCCCCUGCACAUUAAUGCUUAUUUAAUGUAUUAAGAAGUUUUUGAUGAUUUAAAUCAAUACAUUCUUGUUGGUCACUUGUCCCUCAUUUCGUGUGCUGUUCUGCUACACUUUGAUGUAGUGGCAUUUAUCAUAUCAGAUGAUGUUGAAAACUAUAAUUCUUCAUCCUGAUCCAAUAAAUGUGGGGUGUAACUAUGUGGAUGGUUAUGAAAUUUCAUUGCAUUAAAAUGAAGGAAAAGAUCCACCCCAGAGUGACUUUGCUGCGAAAGAAAUUAAGGUGAGAAAUGGGAUUCAUAUGGGCAUGAGGGUAAGAAAAGCUAAAGCAUAAUUGUCCCAGAUACAUAUCCUUGUUAAAUUGAGUGGGAUUGUUGCAUUGGUCUCUUCAGGGAGAAGAAGUAGGAUAUCAGUGCCAGUAUCCUUCCAGAAUGUUUCUAAGAGAAGUAGGGGAAGUACAAAUGAAUUGUUAUUGGGUGGUCUUGUGUAUAUAUAAUACAAUAAGUAAAUAAAUACAUAUAAAUAAGCUGCUAAUUUUAUUUAUAUUCCUGUCCUAAAGUUAUGAGAAUUAUACGUAGCACUGCAAUGAAUGCUUUUCACUCUACUGGCACUCUAGCAGCAAAAUAUUUAAGAAGAAAUAACAAUAUAGUCCUAUACUUAAUUAUUGAGAUGUCAUUCUCACUGAGUUCAGUGUGACUUACUUCCAGGCAAGCGGGUAUAGGAUUGUUUCCCAUCCCAUCUCUGGCCUUUGUUCUUUAAAUAAAAGUGUGUAUUUUUAAACAAAAAAGAAAAUAAGUGCAUCAUCUGCAAGUUGUGAACUUGGUCCUUCCCCGCCUUCUCUCCAUUUGCUUAGCUUUUCGUGAGACAUUUGCCAUUUAUUAGUACCUAUGAACUUCCUUAUAUGAGCUGAACAAGUGGAGCUAAUUCUAAUAAUCAUUUCUGUUGCCUUGCCAAUGAUGAAAAGAAAAAAAGGGGGGCUUCAUCUUGUUGUAGCUGAAGAUGUUACUUUAGAUGGGUAAGAGAGUUUGUACAUUUUAUUGUAAUCCAUAUUUAUAUGUAGUGCUUCAGACUAGUAUUAGAAACUGUUUAGAUUCUCAUGAUGUUUCCAGUGAUAUUAAUGUCUUCUUGUUUGGCAGACUAAUGAAUUAUUUCACAUUAGAUUUAGGUGACCCAGUUGUACUCAUGUUUCCUAAUGACCAAAGAUCUCUUAACUGACUGGAGACCAGGACAUGGGUCAUUUAUUAUAUGUAUUAAGCAAUCUCCAGGGUUUCAUGCUUAGUUUACAUCUGAUUUGUUUGGAUUUCUACUCCUUGUAGAGCUUCCUGGGCUCCUUCUGAUAAGUAAAGUCAAGUUUACUUUGUUAAGCUCAGCAGUUCCCUGCAGGGAAGAGAUAACAGAGGGAAAAUGGGAUCUUCAGGACACUGCAGCUUGCUUGCUUUUUUGCACCCGGAAGCAAAGAGUGACUUGAUUUUACAGCCACG
This 2704-nucleotide long non-coding RNA is filed under the name Podarcis lilfordi (Lilford's wall lizard). The record is from RNAcentral. Lineage: Eukaryota; Metazoa; Chordata; Lepidosauria; Squamata; Lacertidae.